AACGAACGCUGGCGGCGUGGAUAAGACAUGCAAGUCGAACGGGAACUUCAGUUGUAGCAAUACAGUUGAAGUUUUUAGCGGCGAACGGGUGCGUAACACGUGGGCAAUCUGCCGAGAAGUGGGGGAUAGCUCGCCGAAAGGCGAAUUAAUACCGCAUAUGAUCAGCUAAGACAUCUUAGCGACAUCAAAGCCGGGGCAACCUGGCGCUUUUUGAGGAGCCCGCGGCCAUCAGCUAGUUGGUGAGGUAACGGCUCACCAAGGCUAUGACGGGUAGCUGGUCUGAGAGGACGACCAGUCACACUGGAACUGAGACACGGUCCAGACACCUACGGGUGGCAGCAGUCGAGUAAUUUUUCUCAAGUGGGGCAACCCUGAAGGAGCGACGCCGCGCGGAGGAU
This 398-nucleotide ribosomal RNA is filed under the name uncultured bacterium. Its description in RNAcentral is "bacterial SSU rRNA". It matches the Rfam family "Bacterial small subunit ribosomal RNA", at positions 29 to 409 of the family's 1533-position model. The record is from RNAcentral.